AACGAACGCUGGCGGCAGGCUUAACACAUGCAAGUCGAACGUGAAGCCACCUUCGGGUGGUGGAAAGUGGCAGACGGGUGAGUAACGCGUGGGAACCUACCUAGUGGUGCGGAAUAACUCAGGGAAACUUGAGCUAAUACCGUAUACGCCCCCCUUUAGAGAUAUUGGGGGGAAAGAUUUAUCGCCAUUAGAUGGGCCCGCGUCGGAUUAGCUUGUUGGUGGGGUAAUGGCCUACCAAGGCGACGAUCCGUAGCUGGUCUGAGAGGAUGAUCAGCCACACUGGGACUGAGACACGGCCCAGACUCCUGCGGGAGGCAGCAGUGAGGAAUAUUGCACAAUGGGGGCAACCCUGAUCCAGCCAUGCCGCGUGAGUGACGAAGGCCUUAGGGUUGUAAAGCUCUUUUGGCGGGGACGAUAAUGACGGUACCCGCAGAAUAAGCUCCGGCUAACUUCGUG
This 456-nucleotide ribosomal RNA is filed under the name uncultured bacterium. RNAcentral's name for it is "bacterial SSU rRNA". It matches the Rfam family "Bacterial small subunit ribosomal RNA", at positions 29 to 507 of the family's 1533-position model. The record is from RNAcentral.